This 1415-nucleotide ribosomal RNA is filed under the name Pantanalinema rosaneae CCIBt1046. RNAcentral describes it as "16S ribosomal RNA". It matches the Rfam family "Bacterial small subunit ribosomal RNA". The record is from RNAcentral. Lineage: Bacteria; Bacillati; Cyanobacteriota; Cyanophyceae; Leptolyngbyales; Leptolyngbyaceae.
GAUGAACGCUGGCGGUAUGCUUAACACAUGCAAGUCGAACGGUGUCUUCGGACAUAGUGGCGGACGGGUGAGUAACGCGUGAGAAUCUGCCUUCAGGAUGGGGACAACAGCUGGAAACGGCUGCUAAAACCCGAUGUGCCGAGAGGUGAAAUAUUUAUAGCCUGAAGAUGAGCUCGCGUCAGAUUAGCUAGUUGGUAAGGUAAAGGCUUACCAAGGCGACGAUCUGUAGCUGGUCUGAGAGGAUGAUCAGCCACACUGGGACUGAGACACGGCCCAGACUCCUACGGGAGGCAGCAGUGGGGAAUUUUCCGCAAUGGGCGAAAGCCUGACGGAGCAAUACCGCGUGAGGGAGGAAGGCUCUUGGGUUGUAAACCUCUUUUGAUCGGGAAGAAGACAGUGACGGUACCGAUCGAAUCAGCAUCGGCUAACUCCGUGCCAGCAGCCGCGGUAAUACGGAGGAUGCAAGCGUUAUCCGGAUUUAUUGGGCGUAAAGCGUCCGCAGGUGGUUGAGCAAGUCUGCUGUCAAAGCGCGGAGCUUAACUCCGUAAAGGCAGUGGAAACUGUUUAACUUGAGUACGGUAGGGGUAGCGGGAAUUCCCAGUGUAGCGGUGAAAUGCGUAGAUAUUGGGAAGAACACCAGCAGCGAAAGCGCGCUACUGGGCCUGUACUGACACUGAGGGACGAAAGCUAGGGGAGCGAAAGGGAUUAGAUACCCCUGUAGUCCUAGCUGUAAACGAUGGGUACUAGGUGUUGGCCGUAUCGACCCGGUCAGUGCCGUAGCUAACGCGUUAAGUACCCCGCCUGGGGAGUACGCACGCAAGUGUGAAACUCAAAGGAAUUGACGGGGGCCCGCACAAGCGGUGGAGUAUGUGGUUUAAUUCGAUGCAACGCGAAGAACCUUACCAGGGCUUGACAUGUCGCGAAUCCUCGGGAAACUGAGGAGUGCCUUCGGGAGCGCGAACCACAGGUGGUGCAUGGCUGUCGUCAGCUCGUGUCGUGAGAUGUUGGGUAAGUCCCGCAACGAGCGCAACCCACGUCUUUAGUUGCCAUCAUUCAGUUGGGCACUCUGGAGAGACUGCCGGUGACAAACCGGAGGAAGGUGUGGAUGACGUCAAGUCAGCAUGCCCCUUACGUCCUGGGCUACACACGUACUACAAUGCUGUGGACAGAGGGUUGCCAACUCGCGAGAGUGAGCUAAUCCCGUAAACCACGGCUCAGUUCAGAUUGCAGGCUGCAACUCGCCUGCAUGAAGGCGGAAUCGCUAGUAAUCGCAGGUCAGCAUACUGCGGUGAAUACGUUCCCGGGCCUUGUACACACCGCCCGUCACACCAUGGGAGUUGGCCACGCCCGAAGUCGUUACUCCAACCUUUUCGGAGGAGGAGGAUGCCGAAGGCAGGGCUGAUGACUGGGGUGAA